GAAUUGACGGGGCCGCACAAGCGGUGGAGCAUGUGGUUAAUUCGAAGCAACGCGAAGAACCUUACCAGGUCUUGACAUCCCGAUGCUAUUCUAGAGAUAGAAAGUUACUUCGGGUACAUCGGUGACAGGUGGUGCAUGGUUGUCGUCAGCUCGUGUCGCGAGAUGUUGGGUUAAGUCCCGCAACGAGCGCAACCCCUAUUGUUAGUUGCCAUCAUUCAGUUGGGCACUCUAGCGAGACUGCCGGUAAUAAACCGGAGGAAGGUGGGGAUGACGUCAAAUCAUCAUGCCCCUUAUGACCUGGGCUACACACGUGCUACAAUGGUUGGUACAACGAGUUGCGAGUCGGUGACGGCGAGCUAAUCUCUUAAAGCCAAUCUCAGUUCGGAUUGUAGGCUGCAACUCGCCUACAUGAAGUCGGAAUCGCUAGUAAUCGCGGAUCAGCACGCCCGCGGUCGGAUACGUUCCGGGCCUU
Molecule: ribosomal RNA, 472 nt
Filed under: uncultured Streptococcus sp.
Lineage: Bacteria; Bacillati; Bacillota; Bacilli; Lactobacillales; Streptococcaceae
Description: bacterial SSU rRNA
Rfam family: Bacterial small subunit ribosomal RNA
Source: RNAcentral